This 386-nucleotide unclassified non-coding RNA is filed under the name uncultured Jaminaea. RNAcentral describes it as "sequence contains ITS1". The stretch from base 1 to 105 matches the Rfam family "5.8S ribosomal RNA", at positions 50 to 154 of the family's 154-position model. The record is from RNAcentral. Lineage: Eukaryota; Fungi; Basidiomycota; Exobasidiomycetes; Microstromatales.
GAAUCGCGAUAGGUAAUGUGAAUUGCAGAAUUCAGUGAAUCAUCGAAUCUUUGAACGCACCUUGCGCUUGGUGGCAUUCCGCCAAGCAUGCCUGUUUGAGUGUCAUGAACACCUCAAACCCCAAUGUUUUGAAAGAAGCAUUGCUUGGGUUUGGUUCUUGGGCUGUUACUUUGCUGCUUAAAUGUCAGCUAGCCUUAAAGAUAUUAGCUGGACUCGAGCUUUCGAGUGCCUUCAACGCUUGAUGUGAUAAAUGUUACGUCGUGCUUGAAAGCCUUGGAUAGCGAUUUUGUUAGAGUCUGCUUCUAAUACGGCGAGAAGUCCUAGCACUUCGACCCAUUAUUUUAAUAUCUGGCCUCAAAUCAGGUAGGAUUACCCGCUGAACUUAA